This 421-nucleotide ribosomal RNA is filed under the name uncultured bacterium. RNAcentral's name for it is "bacterial SSU rRNA". It matches the Rfam family "Bacterial small subunit ribosomal RNA", at positions 356 to 774 of the family's 1533-position model. The record is from RNAcentral.
GAGGAAUAUUGGUCAAUGGGGGCAACCCUGAACCAGCCAAGUCGCGUGAAGGAUGAAGGUCUUAUGGAUUGUAAACUUCUUUUAUACAGGAAUAAAUUGGGGGACGUGUCCCCUUUUGCAUGUACUGUAUGAAUAAGGAUCGGCUAACUCCGUGCCAGCAGCCGCGGUAAUACGGAGGAUCCGAGCGUUAUCCGGAUUUAUUGGGUUUAAAGGGUGCGCAGGCGGGAUGUUAAGUCGGCGGUGAAAUUUUGCAGCUCAACUGUAAAAGUGCCUUCGAUACUGGCUUCCUUGAGUGUAGAUGAAGUAGGCGGAAUUUGCGGUGUAGCGGUGAAAUGCUUAGAUAUCACGAGGAACUCCGAUUGCGCAGGCAGCUUACUAAACUACAACUGACGCUCAUGCACGAAGGCGUGGGGAUCAAACA